GCCAGAUAUUUCAAUUCUUGAUUUCUUUGUUUCUUCAUUAUAAGCAAUUUUGAGGAGAAAGAGAAUUCCACAAGGACAAUGAAAACUUACUAAUCAAAAUAAAUGUAUGAGCUAAGGAAAUAAUCCCAGGAUUGUCACAAACUCUGCUUAACACUGUCCUGAUACCCCUGUGGCUUGUCACCUGGAUCUACUGGGUAUUCACAGCAUGUUCUGACCACAGCUAUGUAUGAGUUCAUCAACAAGAUACCAGAGAAAACUGAUGAACACAUUAGUGUUUAUGAUAUGCCAUGAACCAGGAAGGCAAAGGACCAGUCAGUUUUGGGAAGUUUUGGCUCAUAUUCUAGCCCAGGAGCAUCCUGUUAACAGGGGAAAAGCCUUCCUUGACUCAACUGGGAAGAUGCUGUAGCUGAUGCUUCAGUCUCUGAAGACCUAGUCCUGGAGGCUUCCUUGUGGGAACUUGUACACAUGGGCCUUGGAGGACUUUGUGGAUGGAAAUCCAUAUGCUUAGAGGAAUGAUCUGGAGUGUCUCCUCUUUUGUAUGCACCACAAGCACAGCUGGCAGUUGGAAGUCAACCGUACCAGAUGCUACCUUCACAUAAAACAAGUCUUUGCAGAGAUAUGUAUGAAGAGUUUGUAGCAUUUUUGGGAAAAAUGCAGAAGGUAGAUGUCUAACUCCUUCAAAUGUAAAUUAGUGUCCUUGUUGUCUAAUUCAUGGGGACCUGUAGAAGACAGCUACGGGUGCCUAGAAGAAGCUCUUUGCUGAGAGGUCUACAAAACAUUCUCUAAUACUGAGCAAUUUUGUGCAGAGGAGACAUGGGGCUUUUCUAAU
Molecule: long non-coding RNA, 829 nt
Filed under: Anas platyrhynchos platyrhynchos (common mallard)
Lineage: Eukaryota; Metazoa; Chordata; Aves; Anseriformes; Anatidae
Description: lncRNA (ENSAPLG00000017875.1)
Source: RNAcentral